GCAAGCGUUGUCCGGAAUCAUUGGGCGUAAAGCGCGCGUAGGUGGUCAUGUAAGUCCGCUGUGAAAGUCAAAGGCUCAACCUUUGAAAGCCGGUGGAUACUGCAUGACUAGAGUACGGAAGAGGCGAGUGGAAUUCCUGGUGUAGCGGUGAAAUGCGCAGAUAUCAGGAGGAACACCGGUGGCGAAGGCGGGUCUCUGGGCCGAUAUCGACGCUGAGGAGCGAAAGCGUGGGGAGCGAACAGG
Molecule: ribosomal RNA, 243 nt
Filed under: uncultured bacterium
Lineage: Bacteria
Description: partial 16S ribosomal RNA
Rfam family: Bacterial small subunit ribosomal RNA
Source: RNAcentral